RNAcentral lists this ribosomal RNA (252 nucleotides) under uncultured bacterium. Its description in RNAcentral is "partial 16S ribosomal RNA". It matches the Rfam family "Bacterial small subunit ribosomal RNA", at positions 524 to 776 of the family's 1533-position model. The record is from RNAcentral.
UACGGAGGGGGUUAGCGUUGUUCGGAAUUACUGGGCGUAAAGCGUACGUAGGCGGAUUAGUAAGUUGGGGGUGAAAUCCCGGGGCUCAACCCUGGAAUUGCCUCCAAAACUGUGCUGCUUGAGUUCGGAAGAGGAGAGUGGAAUUCCCAGUGUAGAGGUGAAAUUCGUAGAUAUUGGAAGAACACCAGUGGCGAAGGCGGCUCUCUGGUCCGAUACUGACGCUGAGGUGCGAAAGCGUGGGGAGCAAACAGG